UACUCCUACGGGAGGCAGCAGUAGGGAAUCUUCCACAAUGGACGCAAGUCUGAUGGAGCAACGCCGCAUGAGUGAAGAAGGCUUUCGGGUCGUAAAACUCUGUUGUUGGAGAAGAAUGGUCGGCAGAGUAACUGUUGUCGGCGUGACGGUAUCCAACCAGAAAGCCACGGCUAACUACGUGCCAGCAGCCGCGGUAAUACGUAGGUGGCAAGCGUUAUCCGGAUUUAUUGGGCGUAAAGCGAGCGCAGGCGGUUUUUUAAGUCUGAUGUGAAAGCCCUCGGCUUAACCGAGGAAGUGCAUCGGAAACUGGGAAACUUGAGUGCAGAAGAGGACAGUGGAACUCCAUGUGUAGCGGUGAAAUGCGUAGAUAUAUGGAAGAACACCAGUGGCGAAGGCGGCUGUCUGGUCUGUAACUGACGCUGAGGCUCGAAAGCAUGGGUAGCGAACAGGAUUAGAUACCCUGGUAGUCCAUGCCGUAAACGAUGAAUGCUAGGUGUUGGAGGGUUUCCGCCCUUCAGUGCCGCAGCUAACGCAUUAAGCAUUCCGCCUGGGGAUUACGACCGCAAGGUUGAAACUCAAAGGAAUUGACGGA
This 592-nucleotide ribosomal RNA is filed under the name uncultured bacterium. RNAcentral describes it as "bacterial SSU rRNA". It matches the Rfam family "Bacterial small subunit ribosomal RNA", at positions 334 to 917 of the family's 1533-position model. The record is from RNAcentral.